Molecule: ribosomal RNA, 778 nt
Filed under: uncultured bacterium
Lineage: Bacteria
Description: bacterial SSU rRNA
Rfam family: Bacterial small subunit ribosomal RNA
Source: RNAcentral
GUGCAUGGCAGACGGGUGAGUAACGCGUGGGGAAUCUACCUCUUUGUGGGGAAUAACGCUCCGAAAGGAGUGGUAAUACCGCAUGAGAUCCAUGGCUGGAAUGUUGUGGAUGAAACCUGGGGACCUUCGGGCCUGGGGCAAGGAGAGGAUCCUGCGUCUGAUUAGCUAGUUGGUGAGGUAACGGCCCACCAAGGCGACGAUCAGUAGCCGGCCUGAGAGGGUGAUCGGCCACACUGGAACUGAGACACGGUCCAGACUCCUACGGGAGGCAGCAGUGGGGAAUUUUGCGCAAUGGGCGAAAGCCUGACGCAGCAACGCCGCGUGGGUGAUGAAGGUCUUCGGAUCGUAAAACCCUGUCGUCGGGGACGAAGGUGGAGGGGUUAAUAGCCUCUUUGCUUGACGGUACCCGGAGAGGAAGCCCCGGCUAACUCUGUGCCAGCAGCCGCGGUAAUACAGAGGGGGCAAGCGUUAUUCGGAAUUAUUGGGCGUAAAGGGCGCGUAGGCGGCUUUUUAAGUGAGAUGUGUAAUCCCUGAGCUCAACUUGGGAACUGCAUCUCAUACUGGGAGGCUAGAGUACUGGAGAGGGUGGUAGAAUUCCACGUGUAGCGGUGAAAUGCGUAGAGAUGUGGAGGAAUACCAGUGGCGAAGGCGGCCACCUGGACAGUAACUGACGCUGAGGCGCGAAAGUGUGGGUAGCAAACAGGAUUAGGUACCCUGGUAGUCCACACUGUAAACGAUGAACACUUGGUGUGGAGGGAGUUGACCCCUUCCGUGCCGU